This 382-nucleotide ribosomal RNA is filed under the name Sympetrum maculatum. RNAcentral describes it as "partial 12S ribosomal RNA". It matches the Rfam family "Microsporidia small subunit ribosomal RNA", at positions 773 to 1302 of the family's 1311-position model. The record is from RNAcentral. Lineage: Eukaryota; Metazoa; Arthropoda; Insecta; Odonata; Libellulidae.
GAAACCCAUAGAAUUUGGCGGUAUUUUAUUCUUUUUUAGAGGGCCUGUCCUGUAAUUGAUAACCCACGAUAGGAGUUACUUAUAUUUGUUUUCAUUUUGUAUACCUCCGUCAUCAGAGUAUCCUUUUAGGGUUAUAAUAUUCUUAAUAUAUAAGGUAUUAAAUGUCAGGUCAAGGUGCAAUUUAUAUAUAAGUAGAGAUGGGCUACAAUAAAUUUAUUUAGACGGAUUAUUAUUUUUAAUAAUAAUAUGAAGGUGGAUUUAAAAGUAAAAUUAUUUUAUUUAUUAACUUGACUAUAGCUCUAAAAUAUGCACACAUCGCCCGUCGCUCUUAUUUUAAAAUAAGAUAAGUCGUAACAUAGUAGGUGUACCGGAAGGUGUACCU